GCGCUUGCUUCAGCGCCACGUGUACCAGAGCUAGACCACCGCGGAGAAGACAGCACGGCCCCUGCAAAAGGAUGGUACGCAAAUUCCCGAGGCACACCUUAAUUUU
RNAcentral lists this small nuclear RNA (106 nucleotides) under Ovis aries (sheep). Lineage: Eukaryota; Metazoa; Chordata; Mammalia; Artiodactyla; Bovidae. The record is from RNAcentral.